UACGAGGGGGGCAAGUGUUGUUCGGAAUCACUGGGCGUAAAGGGAGCGUAGGCGGAUGCUUAAGGUGGAUGUUUAAAACCGGGGCCCAACCCCGGGGCGGCAUCCAAAACUGGGCGUCUUGAAUGGAACAGAGGCUAGUGGAAUUGGGGGUGUAGCGGUGGAAUGCGUAGAGAUCCCCAAGAAAACCAAUUGCGAAGGCAUCUAGCUGGGUUCACAUUGACGCUGAGGCUCGAAAGCAUGGGGAGCAAACAGG
This 253-nucleotide unclassified non-coding RNA is filed under the name uncultured Fibrobacteraceae bacterium. RNAcentral's name for it is "contains 16S-23S intergenic spacer region". It matches the Rfam family "Bacterial small subunit ribosomal RNA", at positions 524 to 776 of the family's 1533-position model. The record is from RNAcentral. Lineage: Bacteria; Pseudomonadati; Fibrobacterota; Fibrobacteria; Fibrobacterales; Fibrobacteraceae.